GCCUGGCUCCUGCCAUGCACCCAAGGUAGACAGGACCCCGGGGGGGGGGGGGGUCUUAUUUCCUGGUCCCCAGGGGCAAGACCGCGGUGGGCACCCAGCUCUUACCGCCUCCGAUUUGGGUGGCACGGGGGGUGGGGUGUCCCCAAGGGGGUCAUCCCUGGGGGCACUGGGGCGGCGCGGAGAGCCCAGCGGGGACGCAGCCCCGAAGGAGAUGAGGUCCUGCCGCCCCUUGUUGGUGCAGCCCAGCCCCAGUGGGUUGCUGCUGGGCUCCAAGUAGCUCUCCAGGCUCUGGUUGCUCCAAAGCUCCUCGUAGGGGAUCUCCAGCUGCUCCUGAGUCCUGAAUUCGGGCUCGGCCCAGUCGGGCGUCAUGUACUCCCUGUCGGGGUCGGAGAAGUCAGGCAGCACCGGGUGCUCGUGCUGGGCGCUCCCACCUGCGCCCAGCGGGUCCUGGCACCGGGCGGCCACGUCCUCGGGYGCGUGGGCCAGCGCCCCGCGGUAGACGCAGAGCGAGAGGCGCUGCAAGGGCUGGCUGAGCUCCUCGCGGGCGUAGCCCUGCAGGCAGAGCCGGAUGCGCCGGGGGCUGGCGCACUCCUCGGAGAAGUCGGGCUUGGCCUCCCGCACGGCCUUGGAGUACUCAUCAGGGUUGAAGCGCUCGUGGCAGUACGCGGCGCUGUCCCGCAGCAGCUUCUCCAGCUGGGGGUCCCCGCAGAGCAGCCCCUCGGGCAGCUGGAAGCGGGGCAUGUCGGUGAGCAGCAGGAAGUGGAAGGGCACCAGCUCGUCCUUGCGGAGGAUGCAGCACAGCACCACCGUCUUGGAGAUGAUGCUGACCAGCUUGUAGCAGUGGCCCUCGCGGAUGGCGUGCAGGUCGUAGGGGUUGCGCGCGGGGCGGCUGGGCACGGCCACGUUGACGGGCAGCCGCACCUUCUCGAUGAUGCUGCGGAUGGUGUGCUCRCCCUCCUGGAGGCGCAGCUCCAGCGGGCUGCGGGUGCUGAAGCGCCCCUUGCACUGGAAGGGCAAGCUGAGGCUCUCGUUGGUGCGGUGGUUCAUGCAGAUCAGGCAGGGCAUCUUGCCCUUCACCUGCUUGCCCCCGGCGGCCGGCGCCGCCUUGCCCAGCUUCCGCAGGAUGGUGUUGAAGCGCGACUUCUCCUUCACCGUCUUGGCGCAGAGGAUCUCCGCUUGGCCCAUCAGCGUCAGCUCGUCCCCCGCGUGCAGCGUGAAGUUGUACACCUCGCUGUCCUCGCUGAACUCCCCCGACACCACCUGCCCCGGGACAGCCAGUGGCUGAGCAGGGCACCUGGCACGGGGCCAGCGCCAGGCGGCAGCCCCAGGACCUGCCACCCCUGA
Molecule: long non-coding RNA, 1344 nt
Filed under: Apteryx haastii (Great spotted kiwi)
Lineage: Eukaryota; Metazoa; Chordata; Aves; Apterygiformes; Apterygidae
Description: lncRNA (ENSAHAG00000005635.1)
Source: RNAcentral